Molecule: ribosomal RNA, 497 nt
Filed under: uncultured bacterium
Lineage: Bacteria
Description: bacterial SSU rRNA
Rfam family: Bacterial small subunit ribosomal RNA
Source: RNAcentral
GGCUCAGGACGAACGCUGGCGGCGUGCUUAACACAUGCAAGUCGAACGAUGAACCGACAGCUUGCUGUUGGGGAUUAGUGGCGAACGGGUGAGUAACACGUGAGUAACCUGCCCUCUUCUCUGGGAUAAGCGCUGGAAACGGCGUCUAAUACUGGAUAUUCAGACCUUGUCGCAUGGUGGGGUUUGGAAAGAUUUAUCGGUGGGGGAUGGACUCGCGGCCUAUCAGCUUGUUGGUGGGGUGAUGGCCUACUAAGGCGACGACGGGUAGCCGGCCUGAGAGGGUGACCGGCCACACUGGGACUGAGACACGGCCCAGACUCCUACGGGAGGCAGCAGUGGGGAAUCUUGCACAAUGGGCGCAAGCCUGAAUGCAGCGACGCCGCGUGGAGGGAUGACGGCCGUUCGGGUUGUAAACCUUCUUUCAGUAGGGAAGAAGUCCGUUUCGGGGUGACGGUACCUGCAGAAGAAGCGCCGGCUAACUACGUGCCAGCCGCCGC